UGUAAGUCUAAAAUUUUUAUUAGAAAAAUAUAUUCCUAGGAUAAAAAAAAUAACUGCCUGCAAUUUGCUUAAUUUUAUCUGACAAAAACAAAAUUUCAUUUCCUAAACAUUCUAAGAGUUUGAGUGUUUUGAAAAAGGCUAACUUGUUCAACAAUAUCAUCAAAACUACUUAAAUUCAGUUAAUUUUGGGGAAAACAUUUAAUUUUGUACUGGAAUUUGAACAGUAGCUCGCUGCUGGGGAUUAGAGUAUGAUGAGUAUCUCUCCUUUCCGUCGAUACUCCCUUAGUACUGCAAUAUACACAGUCGACUGGAAGAAAUCCUCGACCUCAGCAUACAUGAAGCCAUAGCAAGAAGCAGUGAAAGCCACAGCAGAGAUUGGAUGGAGCAUAAUUUUUUCAUGUCUCGGCGCCUCUAUGGAUGUCAUAUUUAGAUCAGAUGCAAUCUGAGCCUUGUUCUGAAUUUCAAAAUCCCCUUUGACAACACCUGCACAGCUGAGGUAGUGUAAACUUAAAAAUUGAGGACAACCAAAGAAUCACCAAGAAAAGAUUAUCAAUUCAACUAACAUUGAUGAAUGAACCACAUGCAUUGUGUCAGAGGAAUCUAGCUGGAACACCUAUUUAGCAGCCAGGACACAUAGAUGUACCUGUACAGUUGAUACAGAUAAUCUCAACGGCACAUUUCUAAAUGAUGGCCAAAAAAAUCUAAUAAAGACACUGUCAGUUUAAAACUUUUUGAAAGAAAUCCAGACCAGAAACAAAGGAUAUUGAUUUUUAAGCUCCUCCAAAUGUAAAAGGGGUUUUAUUGAAGCCAAGACCUGGAUACACCCAAGGAUAUUUAAUAUUACACCCCUUUAACAUAAAAUUUUGAAUUUUAGUUUGCCUAUCUAGUCAAGAACAUGGAUUUUUUGACAUUUGAUACACUUUAUAAUGUUAUAUUGACAUUUUUUCAAGAUUUAUUUACUGUAAACUAUGUAUUUCAGCAAAAAGUAAAUUUACAGAUGAUUUUUCAAAAAUUGCUUU
Saccostrea cuccullata (small rock oyster) is the source of this 1019-nucleotide long non-coding RNA. RefSeq lists it as uncharacterized. The record is from RefSeq and is a predicted model, not a curated record. The transcript is spliced from 3 exons. Lineage: Eukaryota; Metazoa; Mollusca; Bivalvia; Ostreida; Ostreidae.